Long non-coding RNA from Capra hircus (goat), 668 nucleotides. RefSeq lists it as uncharacterized. The transcript has 4 exons. Lineage: Eukaryota; Metazoa; Chordata; Mammalia; Artiodactyla; Bovidae. The record is from RefSeq and is a predicted model, not a curated record.
AGCUCAGCGGGGGAAGCGCCUCUGACUGAUCGCGGUUGGCGCGUGCUCCCGACAGGCUGUGCGCGGCCGCGAAGCUUCCACCGGCUCAUGAGGCGCUCACAGCCGGUGAGCGCGCGGGAGGUCACAUGGCGAGGGUGCACGAUGCUCACAAAUGCGAGGAACCUAAGGUCACGAAGGAGCUCAGCGACCUUGCCCAGGUCUGCAGCAGCGAGCCGCCUACGAUCCUGCCAGAACCACCCUGGACACGGCGGCCGCGCCAGUCUUCAGUCUCCCCGCCCCCUCGCCCCGGCUCCCAGCCCGCAGGACAAAGGCUGCGGGGCCGUCCAAGCAGCUCAGGGAGGUAGCAACGGCGCCGCAACACGGGGUCUCAGCAACAAAAAACGCGCAGAGGUCGCCUCGCUGGACCCGGGCGGCCCACGGACGAGGACCCGAGGCUUGGUGACUCUAAUAUGGACACAGAAAAGUACUAACCUGGAGAGAUUACAGAAUCACUGGGAUUUCCUUCUUCCCCUGCAUUGAAAAUGACAAGAUGCCCUCUACCACCCCCAACAAAGGCUAUUAGGAAUUUGUGUACAAAGACCCUCAUGUGUUGCUGCUGGGAAUGUGAAAUGGAGAAGAGUUUGGUGGUAAGCCAAAAUGACCAUAUGACAUCUUGAAAUAAAUUUCUA